CAUGCACCAGUGGGGUCCCUUGGCCUGGCCUGCAGGGACUGGGCCAAAACCGGCAGUGUGACAUCCUCGAAGGGUCACAGAUUGCAAGAGGGUGCAGGCCAGGCCGAGGGACCCCACCGGUGCACA
RNAcentral lists this microRNA precursor (126 nucleotides) under Myotis lucifugus (little brown bat). RNAcentral describes it as "mir-9193 microRNA precursor family". It matches the Rfam family "mir-9193 microRNA precursor family". Lineage: Eukaryota; Metazoa; Chordata; Mammalia; Chiroptera; Vespertilionidae. The record is from Rfam by way of RNAcentral.